RNAcentral lists this ribosomal RNA (794 nucleotides) under Spironucleus salmonis. RNAcentral's name for it is "SSU rRNA". It matches the Rfam family "Eukaryotic small subunit ribosomal RNA", at positions 272 to 1232 of the family's 1831-position model. Lineage: Eukaryota; Fornicata; Diplomonadida; Hexamitidae. The record is from RNAcentral.
UACGGGCUUAGUCCGUGCCGAUGGACAGCAGAUCAGGUUCGCGUGCAUCACCUUGACGGUAGGGUAAUGGCCUACGGUGGGAUUAACGCACACGGGGUGUUAGGGCACGACUCCGGAGAAUGAGCAUGAGAGACGGCUCAUAGUUCUAAGGAAGGCAGCAGGCGCGGAAAUUGCCCAAUGUACCGUUGUGUACGAGGCAGUGACGAGGCGUCGUGAGUCACUUAGGUGACAUUACGAUGAGUGAGGUGUACAGACCCUCGCAAAUGCAAGUCGUGGGAAAGCAUGGUGCCAGCAGCCGCGGUAAUUCCAUCAUGACUAACUCAUUCUUACGGUGCUGCAGUUAAAGCGUCCGUAGCUGGCGNGCCUGCCGACUCGAGGAACUCUCGACGCCCAACGUAGCGAGCGCGGUGAGCUGCAGCGAGUUACGGCAACAACAACUAUCGCUAUAGGACAGGGGAAGGCUCCUUCUAUUAUAGGGGGACAGGUGAAAUAGGAUGAUGCCUAUAGGAGGAACAAGUGCGCAGGCACUGAGUCGUCCCCGGUUCGUUGGUCAAGGGCGUUAUCGUGGGGCUAGACGAUGAUUAGAGACCGUUUUACUCCACGUCGUAAACGAUGCUACCUCGCUGUGCGCUGUUCAAACACGUGCUUAGCGAAGAGAAAUCGAAGUGUACGACCCCUGGGGGGAGUAUGCUCGCAAGGGUGAAACUUGAAAGUAUUGACGGAAAGAUACCACCAGACGUGGAGUCUGCGGCUUAAUUUGACUCAACGCGCCAAUCUUACUAGACCCAGAUGCU